CGCAAGCCUGACGGAGCAACGCCGCGUGAGGGAGGAAGGCCUGUGGGUUGUAAACCUCUUUUCUCAAGGAAGAAGUUCUGACGGUACUUGAGGAAUCAGCAUCGGCUAACUCCGUGCCAGCAGCCGCGGUAAGACGGAGGAUGCAAGCGUUAUCCGGAAUUAUUGGGCGUAAAGCGUCCGUAGGCGGUACAGAAAGUCUGCUGUUAAAGCUCACAGCUCAACUGUGAAUCGGCAGUGGAAACUUCUGAACUAGAGAGUGGUAGGGGUAGAGGGAAUUCCUAGUGUAGCGGUGAAAUGCGUAGAUAUUAGGAAGAACACCAGUGGCGAAGGCGCUCUACUGGGCCAUUACUGACGCUGAUGGACGAAAGCUAGGGGAGCG
Molecule: ribosomal RNA, 379 nt
Filed under: uncultured cyanobacterium
Lineage: Bacteria; Bacillati; Cyanobacteriota
Description: bacterial SSU rRNA
Rfam family: Bacterial small subunit ribosomal RNA
Source: RNAcentral